AGUAAUGCUUGGGAAUCUGGCUUAUGGAGGGGGAUAACUGUGGGAAACUGCAGCUAAUACCGCGUAAUCUCUGAGGAGUAAAGGGUGGGACCUAUUGGCCACCUGCCAUAAGAUGAGCCCAAGUGGGAUUAGGUAGUUGGUGGGGUAAAGGCCUACCAAGCCUGCGAUCUCUAGCUGGUCUGAGAGGAUGACCAGCCACACUGGAACUGAGACACGGUCCAGACUCCUACGGGAGGCAGCAGUGGGGAAUAUUGCGCAAUGGGGGGAACCCUGACGCAGCCAUGCCGCGUGAAUGAAGAAGGCCUUCGGGUUGUAAAGUUCUUUCGGUAAUGAGGAAGGGAUGUUGUUUAAUAGAUGGCAUCAUUGACGUUAAUUACAGAAGAAGCACCGGCUAACUCCGUGCCAGCAGCCGCGGUAAUACGGAGGGUGCGAGCGUUAAUCGGAAUAACUGGGCGUAAAGGGCACGCAGGCGGACUUUUAAGUGAGAUGUGAAAUCCCCGAGCUUAACUUGGGAAUUGCAUUUCAGACUGGGAGUCUAGAGUACUUUAGGGAGGGGUAGAAUUCCACGUGUAGCGGUGAAAUG
Molecule: ribosomal RNA, 583 nt
Filed under: Pasteurella multocida
Lineage: Bacteria; Pseudomonadati; Pseudomonadota; Gammaproteobacteria; Pasteurellales; Pasteurellaceae
Description: bacterial SSU rRNA
Rfam family: Bacterial small subunit ribosomal RNA
Source: RNAcentral